AUGACACAGAAUUUAGCAAACAAUGGUGGUGACAUAGACGGCAUCAGGCUCGAGAUGACGGAGGAUAGACCCGAGCACAAACGUUACAUGCGCUAUUACAACUACGUCUUCGAGUCCCGCGGCAAGCUGUUGUGGGCGUCCGUCUUACUCGAGCAUGAAUGGCACCAUAAAAACAUGGACACCUUGUCCACCAAUGACCCCGUGGUACCAACGCUAGCGGUGAUGGUGCAUGAAGCGGAAGAAGAAGUGGACGGUGGCAAGGUCAAGAUGCGAUGGGUGGUGAGAGAUGGCCGGAGUUUGGGUGAUCAUGUCCUGUACCUUGGGUUCCCCACGAGCUUCGCUGCAGACUCCACCCAGCUAGACAUGGACGGUGGAUGUGUCUACUUUGUCUUUUUACAUCGCUUGUACAGGUACAACUUCAUCACUGGCGAAACCAAACUCAUGGAGUCGCCACGUAACGGAUGGAUUUCCCCUGAUGCACACCUGUGGCUCCGGCCACGACCUGUGAUUUCUCCUAUUGAAGAAAUUCAAGAAAGACUUAGGAUCCGGCCAAACAGAAAAGAAGACCAAAAAGGAACGGCUCAACUACCUCAGCUGGUCUUUGCUGAACGGAGCCAGCUAUACGCAACUAACUCACCUGAUUUUCUUUUGCAGCUACACAAAAAAUAUAUUUCUUGA
Molecule: ribosomal RNA, 678 nt
Filed under: Triticum aestivum (bread wheat)
Lineage: Eukaryota; Viridiplantae; Streptophyta; Magnoliopsida; Poales; Poaceae
Description: partial small subunit ribosomal RNA
Source: RNAcentral